This 252-nucleotide ribosomal RNA is filed under the name uncultured bacterium. RNAcentral's name for it is "partial 16S ribosomal RNA". It matches the Rfam family "Bacterial small subunit ribosomal RNA", at positions 524 to 776 of the family's 1533-position model. The record is from RNAcentral.
UACGUAGGUCCCGAGCGUUAUCCGGAUUUAUUGGGCGUAAAGCGAGCGCAGGCGGUUGGAUAAGUCUGAAGUUAAAGGCUGUGGCUCAACCAUAGUAUGCUUUGGAAACUGUUCAACUUGAGUGCAGAAGGGGAGAGUGGAAUUCCAUGUGUAGCGGUGGAAUGCGUAGAUAUAUGGAGGAACACCGGUGGCGAAAGCCGCUCUCUGGUCUGUAACUGACGCUGAGGCUCGAAAGCGUGGGUAGCGAACAGG